Molecule: ribosomal RNA, 792 nt
Filed under: Lewinskya sordida
Lineage: Eukaryota; Viridiplantae; Streptophyta; Bryopsida; Orthotrichales; Orthotrichaceae
Description: partial 26S ribosomal RNA
Rfam family: Eukaryotic large subunit ribosomal RNA
Source: RNAcentral
UACCCGCUGGUUUAAGCAUAUCACUGAGCGCAGGAGAAGAAACUAACCAGGAUUUCCCUAGUAACGGCGAGCGAACCGGAAAGAGCCCAGCUUGAAAAUCGUGGCGCCCCGGCGCCUCGAAUUGUAGUCUGGAGAAGGUCCCUCUGCGGCGCGCCGGACCCAAGUUCCCUGGAAAGGGACGCCAUCGAGGGUGAGAGCCCCGCUGAUUCCGGAGUGCGCCGCUCCACGAGGACCUGUCUGCGAGUCGGGCUGUUUGGGAAUGCAGCCCUAAGCGGGUGGUAAAUUCCAUCCAAGGCUAAAUAUUGGCAAGAGACCGAUAGCGAACAAGUACCGCGAGGGAAAGAUGAAAAGGACUUUGAAAAGAGAGUUAAAAAGUGCUUGAAAUUGCUGGGAGGGAAGCGAAUGGAAGCUGCGGGUGCGCCCCGGUUGGAUGUGGAACGGCUGUCAAAGGCUGGUCCGCCGCUCAACGCGGGGCGCUGGUCAGCGUGGGCCAUCGCGGCGGGACAAGAGCGGGGAUUCGCUUCCCGCCGAUGCCGCUGCGGUGGCCGAGGAACGAAGCGCGCGCUCUUCAUGGGCGUGGGACUUGUCCCAACUGCGCGCUCGGGACGCUGGCGUAUUGAGCUCUUCAUCCGACCCGUCUUGAAACACGGACCAAGGAGUCUAACAUGUAUGCGAGCCGGUGGGCGGCAAACCCAUUGAGGCGCAAGUAACCUGACAGGUGGGACCCCGACCGCAAGGGAGGGAGCACCAUCGACCGACCGUGAUCUUCUGUGAAGGGUUCGAGUGGUGAGC